RNAcentral lists this transfer RNA (73 nucleotides) under bacterium. Its description in RNAcentral is "tRNA-Ala". It matches the Rfam family "tRNA". Rfam says of the family: Transfer RNA (tRNA) molecules are approximately 80 nucleotides in length. The record is from RNAcentral.
GGGCCGUUAGCUCAGCUGGUAGAGCGCAUGCAUGGCAUGCAUGAGGUCAGGAGUUCGAUCCUCCUACGGUCCA